Long non-coding RNA from Dendrobium catenatum, 1049 nucleotides. RefSeq lists it as uncharacterized. The record is from RefSeq and is a predicted model, not a curated record. NCBI's taxonomy places the organism in Eukaryota, Viridiplantae, Streptophyta, Magnoliopsida, Asparagales, Orchidaceae. The transcript has 2 exons.
AGAGGGGUGCGGCUGUCAGCAAGGCGUAGGAGAGGGGAGAAGUCGACGGGAGUAGAGGCUUCGGUGUGUGGAGAUUGGAUGUCGUGGAGGGCCGAUCGGGUGAGGGAGGAGUUUGGAAUGCAGGCAGCUGGAGAUCGUGGGUUUCGGUCGUGGUUCUAGAGGGUGACGGGAUUGAGGAAGAAGGGGGCUUCGGUUUGGUAGCUAGAGGCGUCGACAAUGGAGAUGGAGAUCGGAGCUUGGCUAUGGCUGGAUGGGAUUCUCGCGUGGGAAGAGCUACGAAUAGAAUGAAUCCCCAACGACGGGAGUUGGGCUUGGUUUUAUAGGCGUUGGAGAGCAGUACUCGAGGGGCUGCCACGAGAUUUGAGCAGGAGUCCCGGAACGGCGCCGAAUGAUCAAAAGGAAACUUGAGCGAUAUAUCGCAUGUGGAUCGGAAUGGGUUACUAUCAGAUGAGGAAGUCUAGAGUAUUUGAAGAAGGAUAAAAUAAACAAAAUCAUGAUUCUACAGUGAACGCAUAGACAACUCUCCAUACUACCAGUUCAGUUCCAAGCACAAAAUAUAGGAGGGUAAGUAUAAAUUUAUAUAUGCAUUUUUACUCUUAUAUUUUUUGUUAAUUUAUUUUAUAUUAUCAGUGAAGUUGAAGCAGGGAAGAGAGCCUACCACCACAGAAUUGCAUAGCGAAAACCACUUUGACGAGCCCAAUCAAUUAUGAUGUUUAUUAGCUCUAAGGAGAAAUUAUUAUCAUUGAAUGUUGUAGCGCCCACCCCAUUUCAGUCUUCCUGUUAUGUCAUGAUAGCUCAUGGGAGUCAAUGGAUGGAAGGGGGGAUGAGGCAAUAUAGGCUCAUGCCGGAUAUUUCUCGAGAAGGAAUGGCAACCCACAGAUUGUUGAGGUGGAGAAUACAGUUCUUGCUUUAUUGAAGGGUAACAACCCAUAUAUUGUAGAGGUGGAUGCUAAAAUUUUUAUUUAGUAGGUUUAAAAUUUAUAAAAAAAAAAAAACUAUUUCAAUAUGUAACUUCCUUUCUUAAUAGGAUAUAUUUAUUUCUUCUUUUA